CCAGGCGGCAGCUACCAUGCAGUCGAGCGGUAACAUAUAGACUUGCUACUUUGGUGACGAGCGGCGGACGGGUGAGUAAUGCUUGAGAACAUGUCUUGAGGUGGGGGACAACAGUUGGAAACCAGUGCUAAUACCGUAUAGUGUCUACGGACCAAGGGGGGUUUCCGCUCUCCUUUUUAUAUUGGCCCAAGUGGGAUUAUCUAUUUGGUGAGGUAGUGGCUCACCAGGGAGAAUAUCCCUAUGUGGUUUGAGAGGAUGAUCACCCACUGUGGGACUGACACAGGGCCCACACUUCUACGGGAGGCAGCAGUGGGGAAUAUUGCACUGUGGGCGAAAGUGUGAUGCACCUGUGCCGCGUGUGUGAAGAGGGUCUUCGGGUUGUAAAGCUCUUUCAGUCGAGAAGAAAGGUUAAUAUUUAAUACGUGAUAUCUGUGAUGUUACUGACAAAAAAAACACGGGCUAUCUGCGUGCCAGCACCCGCGGUAAUACAGAGGGUGAGAGCGUUAAUCAAAUUUACUGGGCGUAAAGCGCACGCGCGCGGUUUGUUAAGCGAUAUGUGAAAGCCCCGGUCUCCACCUGGAAACUGUAUUUCAAAGUGGAAAACUAGAGUGUGAUAGAGGGUGGUAGAAUUUCGUGUGUAGCGGUGAAAUGUAUAGAUAUCUGAAAGAAUACCUAUGGCGAACGCACCCCCCUGUCCCCACUCUGACUCUCGUGUACGAGAGUGUGGAGAGCACACAAGAUUAUAUACUCUUGAUACAC
This 759-nucleotide ribosomal RNA is filed under the name Pseudoalteromonas sp. RNAcentral describes it as "bacterial SSU rRNA". It matches the Rfam family "Bacterial small subunit ribosomal RNA", at positions 36 to 795 of the family's 1533-position model. The record is from RNAcentral. Lineage: Bacteria; Pseudomonadati; Pseudomonadota; Gammaproteobacteria; Alteromonadales; Pseudoalteromonadaceae.